AUUCUCUCUGCUCAGCUCAGCUACAAGUGCAGCUCUUGAAAUGUGGUUGUUGUAACUGAGAGACAGAAUUUUGUAUCAUGUAAUAUAU
Dipodomys spectabilis (banner-tailed kangaroo rat) is the source of this 88-nucleotide small nucleolar RNA. RefSeq annotates it as small nucleolar RNA SNORA64/SNORA10 family. NCBI's taxonomy places the organism in Eukaryota, Metazoa, Chordata, Mammalia, Rodentia, Heteromyidae. The transcript has a single exon. The record is from RefSeq and is a predicted model, not a curated record.